Long non-coding RNA from Mustela erminea (ermine), 190 nucleotides. RefSeq lists it as uncharacterized. The transcript is spliced from 3 exons. Lineage: Eukaryota; Metazoa; Chordata; Mammalia; Carnivora; Mustelidae. The record is from RefSeq and is a predicted model, not a curated record.
GGGAUGAAAAUCUCACUUCUCUUUCUUCUAUUUCUUGAGAGUGAGGGGAUAUAUCCAUCUGUAUAGAGUUCAUGACAAGCAGCCCUCCUGUCUUUUUGUAACUGAAGCGACUUUUAAUUGUCUUCAAACUUCCAGUGUUACUACUCUGCCAAGACAGGUGAUGUGAGAAGGAUGAAAAUGGGAGUAUUGG